CCUUCAUUGCGUCUGAACUUUAGUUCAAUUUGUUGAAUAUCUGAAAAUGGGAAAAGUUCAUAAAGUCUGUCAUUUUGGGUGGAAAUAAUGGAGAUAAUAUCAACUCUACCCCCUUCGGUAUUUUGGGGGGAAAACUGAAGUAAUUUGUGGAAAACUAGCUUGGAACAUGAUCAUGAGUUUAACAGGUACGGCUUCUUAUUGAAAUAACUUGUGCUUAUUUUUGCAUUUAAACAGUAGAAGAACCAAACUUGCCUUGUUGUCGACCUCUGCAUUGCAUCCCAAGUUAGUUCAUUGUUCUGAAUACAAAUGAUUCAUGGUUAUAAAAUGGGGGGAUCUAUCCGUGACUUGCCAAACCUGGAAUUUGGCCUAGAUUGGAUUUCUUUUUUAAUUGGAUUUUGUUGGAUCAAAAUGAUAAUGUUUUAUUUUAAAAAAAUUAAAAUGACAUUGUUUAGAUGUAAAAAAAAUUGGGUUUUGACUCAUGGGUUGAUCAGUUCUUGGACUAAAUCUUAUAACCAUGGUGUUAUAUUAGGAUGUGGUUUUAGUGCUAAUUUAAAUCUUUUUUGGACCUCGGAUAUCCUGGAUGUAGCAAUAGUAUCUUUGUCUUCUGGAUUUGGGUUUUGUUGUCGACUAUGAAUAAUAAUUGUUGUUUACUAACUAAUGAGAAAUUAAAAGAAGCUAAAAUCUCUUUGAAAAACAAUGUAGUUCUACAUUUAAAAAACAUUAUUUAUUAGAUAGUGUAAUCAUGCUGUUGCUUUUCCAUCUAAAAAACCUUAACAGUAGCUACGAAUGAUAUUUAAAUCUUUUCAUAUAAUUUAUUUGUCAUUAUUAAAUUUAUUAGAAAUAAAUAAAUUUUUUUUUCUUAAUUGCACAGUGAAAUAAUCAAGCAAAAAUUUAAACAUAUCAUUAAGGAGCAUUUUUGUAUUUGUGACAUGUAUUGGUGGUCUAGUUUGUCGUCAGUAGGUCUUUUUUUUUUUUCUUUUCUCUCUACCCGUAAAAAUUACAACUUGAUCCUAUUUAUUGUUGGUAUUUCAACUUCAAUUUUUAUUCUUUUAAUUUUUAAUUUUUGUUGUUAACUCUUUUGUAAAGAAAUUAUUUGUUUUCAAUUUUAUUCUUCAAUUUCAAUUUACAAAUAUAAUAUUUUUCAAUUUGAUCUUUAUUUUUUUUCCAUGGCUAUUUUGUAAAAAUUUUAUUUGCUUUUAAUUUUAUCCUUCAAUUCAAAUUGAUGGUAAGUUUUUUAAUUUGGUCCUUAUUAUUUUGAUUUCUAUUUUUUUCUUGAUCCUUUUGAAAAAGUUAUUAUUCUUUUCAAUUUCAACCUUUAAUCAUCAAUUUGCUUUUAUUUUUCAUGUCAAACUUGAUCCUCAUUCUUUUGAAUUUUUCUUGAUCCUUUUGCGAAAUUGAUUUUUUUUUCAAUUUCACUCUUCAAUCAAAUAUAAAAUUUAUUUAGUAUUUGGAUUUUGAUCCUCAUUCUUUUAUUUUUUAUUUUUUAAAUUCUUUUGUAUAAUUGAAAUGUUUUUAAUUUAUCAUUUAAUAUUUGAUUGAUUAAGAAUUGAACUUCAUGAUUUUCUUUUAAAAUAGGGUGCUUCGGGUCUAGUGACUCGGAUCAUGAGUUUGAAAAGUUAAUAUAUGUUUUUUUAAAAGAAAACUUUGUAAUUCUCUUUAUUUUUUUAUCGGGUUAUUCUAAUCUCAUGAUCUGGACAGCAGAAUAUCCCGGGUUGGCUCAAUCUUAAUUAUCGAGAUUACAAAUUUGUCACGCUAACUCGAACUAGUUUUUUAUGUUCUUUUUUUACCCGUUUUAUUUUUCAUAUUUAAUGGGUUAUGAAAUGUAUACAUUAUUUGUCCUUUAAAAAAAAAAAAAUUCUACUCAAGUUUUUUUAAUUACUUUUCUAACAAGAGUUCAUGUUAGAAAACUGAUGUUUUCAUGUACUCUUGUUGAUUAAUUAUAACAAGAGUUCAUGUAAUCGCAUAGAAGAUCAGAGAAGUCAUCAAAAGGAUAAACUGGUGUUUGCAGCCAAUAUUAACAGGACAUCCAUGAAAGAUGACAGUCUCGUUUACACAAUUUCUCUCCUUUUUAUUAUUUACAUCUCUCCUUUAUAUCUCAAGUUGUUUCUAUUUAAUCCUUUUUCCUUUUGGCCGCGAGAUAUCCCGGGUUGGCUCAAUCUUGAUUAUCGAGAUUACAAAUUUGUCAUGGUAACUCGAACUAGCUUCACAGCAGGCAUGUGAACUGUAGUGAUGUUGCAAGAUUGAAAUCAAAGCAUAAAGGUGCUGCUUGCAAAAAAUCUAAGAUUGGUCGAAAGAGAUGAUAUUUGUUAAAUCAUGACAGAAGGCUAUAGCACAACAGUAAUUUUGGGAAAAGAUAAAUCACAGUAUAAGUUGUCUAAAAGCAGUAUUUUGCAGGGAUGAUAAGCCACUGAGCAGUUUGCUCAUCGAUAACGAAGAUUCUUGCACUCCUGCUAGACACCACCAACUCUCUCCUGG
This 2475-nucleotide long non-coding RNA is filed under the name Populus trichocarpa (black cottonwood). RNAcentral's name for it is "long non-coding RNA (PTRI_LNC002905)". The record is from RNAcentral. Lineage: Eukaryota; Viridiplantae; Streptophyta; Magnoliopsida; Malpighiales; Salicaceae.